AGGCAGAAAUUAUUCAUUCUGGACCAGACCAACAUCAGCUUUGAAUGAGUCGCCUCCCCGAGAUGUCGAGGGCCUUAUGUGUCAAAACACCAGCGAUGAGAAGCGCCAACUUGAAAACCCUGCUGAUGUGUUGGCCUGCUGCCCAUCCAUCCAUGAGGUCAGGGAGUCGGGUCGUUACAGGUCGAGUGGUGGGGUAGGUAGUGUCGAUACCUGGAGUUCACACUAACAGAGGCCGGGUCUAUUAAAGAUGGCAGUACUUUUUGUUUGGGUCAGUGGUAGGCUAUGGGACUUGUUAGUGGAGACAAGAAACCUGCAUUGCGAUGCUUCUACAUUCCAAGUGUUAUAUCAAUUUAAAGGGAUAAAGAGAUUUAACACACGGCUGAAAGCAGACUGUGAUGGCUGCAACUAAAUCUGUCAGAGUAAAUGAUCCUGGUUAAUAUCAGCUUAUUUGUAUCACCUACAGGCUCAGAUUGCACUAAACUAUACUGAACCUCAUACUGAGAAGUUUCUAGGCAGGUAGAUCUUCUAUCAAUGAACAGGAAGCUCCUUUUUUGACACACAAGUAGCUGUUUCUUAAUUCCCUUCGUACCCACAGCCUGAAGUGACAUAAACCAAAGUAUAACCUUGAAGAUGACAUGUUUUCAGGCCUCUAUGGUUUAUUAAGUUGUAGUGGUGUGCAGUGCUUCAUCAGAGGGAAGCUUCUGGAGCACGUAAGUCACAAAACACAAGAAAACAUCCAAUCCAGGCCGCCAUGGAGCAGCUGCUCCCGUGUCCUGCAAGGUGAAGUGUUUUUAUAAAUGGAGCUUUAGAGAGCUUUGACUCAGUCUCUGUCAGGAUUCUUCCUCUUAUGUUGUCAGACUUAAAAUGACAAUCUCAGCUGAAAGGAGCAUUUUUAGUGGACGUUCUUUCACUGGACCCGUUGCCUCUACAGCCGGUCUCAGAGUUGCCGGCUGAAACGAUUCACUGCAGUAAUUCUAGAUCAGUAAGUCCCUGCAGUCAUUCAUACUUUAGAUCUGUCAAAAUACAGCCCAAGUUAAAAUAAUGCAGGAUGUCCCUUUAACAGCCUUGCAUUAAGCCCUGGCCUCAUUUUGGUACUGUUACAGCAGCAGAUUGAUUUCCAUUGUUUCAGAACGCCGGCCUGAGGUUUCACAUGCUUUUCAAUUCAUCUUGUAGGUUACAGUUAAGCUUUUCAAUCCAAUAAAUGUCACUGUCACAUUCCACAAUAAAUGUUUACAGCCUGGAUUUGGUCUUGAAGGCCCGAAGCUGCUGUAGUACAAAUAAACACCACAGGGUGUCAUUAAUCCGCUUAGAGCUCAGCCAAUCAAAAUGACACUGCUGCAGUGUGUGACACACAAAAAAACGACAGAUGCGGCUCAAAUUUUAUUCACAUUUAUUUUUGCUUUUAGUGUGCUCACAGAAAAUUAGAACACCUUUAAGCAGAGGAGUUUAAUAGCAAUUUUUUUUGUAAGCAAAGUUACAUUCCAUCUCUAAGUCAAACUGGUCAAAGCUUCUCCAGUAUUUACAAAAGGAAAAGGAAAAGAGAGAGAGAUAGAGAGACAAGAUGCUACACAAACAUUUGCAUCUGAUAGAUUCCUUAAAUUUUGUCAAAGACCACUGAAAAAGCAUUGCCUGCUGUAAUCAAAAAACAUACCACAGUAUAUAAACAGUUAAACCAUUCCACUUAUCACAGCUUGGUUUCAAAAUUGCUUGAGAAGGUCUUCCAGGACUACUUUUUUUGUGUGUGUUGUUAUCUUACAAAAAUGAGCGGGUGGAAAAAAGAGCUGCAAACUUCAUGUGCUUCUUGAGAUCAAGAUUUUUCAUUUUGUACAAUAAUCACAGUUAAAAACACCCCGCCUAUACAUACUUACAUUUUAUUAAGGUCGUAACCAACAAUAAACAAUAAAGCCUAUACAACUUGUAUUUCUACUGAAUCACUGACUGGUACAGCUAAUGAGAAGUGAGAAGCUCCUAUGAGUUUAUAUGUUUCCUAAAAGCUAACUCUGGGACUGCUGUCUUCUUGGAAAAAGGACUUAGUGUUGUAAACCGUUUGGAGUAUAUAGAUGUUGGUCUCAUAGUUUUUUGACUACUCUUUCAUAAUAGUCUGUGGCACAUUUCCCAGGCCCCCCUGCCCCCCCCUUGAACUCCCCCCUCCCCCUCAUUUACAGCUCCACCCCCUCCUCCUUCAUACCAUGGGCAUGUCCAUACCACUUUGUUUACAUUUUGUAUAAAAUUUUAAAGAAAAAAAAAACUUAAUACUGAUGAAAAAAUAUAUGGCAGAGUGUGGAUGUAUUAAUCUGUUGUACAUGUUGAAGCCACCCACCUCCCCAGCCCGUUGGAAUGGAAGUAACAAUGGACCAAGAUGGGUUUUGUGUAAGGGGGGAAUGUAAAAUCAAAAAUAAAGAAAAGCUUUAAAAUA
Long non-coding RNA from Notolabrus celidotus (New Zealand spotty), 2416 nucleotides. RefSeq lists it as uncharacterized. The transcript is spliced from 2 exons. NCBI's taxonomy places the organism in Eukaryota, Metazoa, Chordata, Actinopteri, Labriformes, Labridae. The record is from RefSeq and is a predicted model, not a curated record.